RNAcentral lists this transfer RNA (90 nucleotides) under Fukomys damarensis (Damara mole-rat). It matches the Rfam family "tRNA". Rfam says of the family: Transfer RNA (tRNA) molecules are approximately 80 nucleotides in length. The record is from Rfam by way of RNAcentral. Lineage: Eukaryota; Metazoa; Chordata; Mammalia; Rodentia; Bathyergidae.
CCUUCGAUAGCUCAGUUGGUAGAGCGGAGGACUGUAGCUGACAUCACUGUAGCAAUCCUUAGGUCGCUGGUUCGAUUCCGGCUCGAAGGA